This 391-nucleotide unclassified non-coding RNA is filed under the name soil metagenome. RNAcentral's name for it is "partial contains 5.8S ribosomal RNA, internal transcribed spacer 2, and large subunit ribosomal RNA". The stretch from base 1 to 122 matches the Rfam family "5.8S ribosomal RNA", at positions 35 to 154 of the family's 154-position model. The record is from RNAcentral.
GAUUAAGAACGUAGCGAAAUGCGAUACUUGGUGUGAAUUGCAGAAUCCCGUGAACCAUCGAGUCUUUGAACGCAAGUUGCGCCCGAAGCCACUAGGCCGAGGGCACGCCUGCCUGGGCGUCACACGCCGUUGCCCCCCCAUCUACUCCUUCGGGAUUGCGGGGGGGCGGAUGAUGGCCUCCUGUGCGCCUAGCCGCGCGGUCGGCAUAAAUACCAAGUCCUCGGCGACGCACGCCACGACAAUCGGUGGUUGCGAAACCUCGGUUGCCCGUCGUGUGCGUUCGUCGCGCAUCGAGGGCUCGAAAAAAUGCUCGGCUCCGGCUGGGCUUUCAACGCGACCCCAGGUCAGGCGGGGUUACCCGCUGAAUUUAAGCAUAUCAAUAAGCGGAGGA